GGGGAUGUAGUUCAAUGGCAGAACUCCUGCUUCCCAAGCAGGUAGCGCGGGUUCGAUUCCCGUCAUCCCCU
This 71-nucleotide transfer RNA is filed under the name Gulosibacter macacae. It matches the Rfam family "tRNA". Rfam says of the family: Transfer RNA (tRNA) molecules are approximately 80 nucleotides in length. The record is from Rfam by way of RNAcentral. Lineage: Bacteria; Bacillati; Actinomycetota; Actinomycetes; Micrococcales; Microbacteriaceae.